UAUGUGGUUUAAUUCGAUGCAACGCGAAGAACUACCUGGUCUUGACAUCCCGGAGACCCUUAGGAAACUAGGGGGUGCUUCCAUCUGGAAGAAUCUGGAGACAGGUGCUGCAUGGCUGUCGUCAGCUCGUGUCGUGAGAUGUUGGGUUAAGUCCCGCAACGAGCGCAACCCUUGCCUUUAGUUGCCAGCAGUUCGGCUGGGCACUCUAAAGGGACUGCCGGUGUUAAACCGGAGGAAGGUGGGGAUGACGUCAAGUCCUCAUGGCCUUUAUGACCAGGGCUACACACGUACUACAAUGGCCGAUACAAAGGGCAGCGACACUGCGAGGUGAAGCCAAUCCCGUAAAAUCGGUCUCAGUCCGGAUUGGAGUCUGCAACUCGACUCCAUGAAGUUGGAAUCGCUAGUAAUCGUGGAUCAGCAUGCCACGGUGAAUACGUUCCCGGGCCUU
This 448-nucleotide ribosomal RNA is filed under the name uncultured Desulfobulbus sp. RNAcentral's name for it is "bacterial SSU rRNA". It matches the Rfam family "Bacterial small subunit ribosomal RNA", at positions 938 to 1382 of the family's 1533-position model. Lineage: Bacteria; Pseudomonadati; Thermodesulfobacteriota; Desulfobulbia; Desulfobulbales; Desulfobulbaceae. The record is from RNAcentral.